This 23581-nucleotide long non-coding RNA is filed under the name Triticum aestivum (bread wheat). RNAcentral describes it as "long non-coding RNA (TAES_LNC016314)". Lineage: Eukaryota; Viridiplantae; Streptophyta; Magnoliopsida; Poales; Poaceae. The record is from RNAcentral.
GUGUUUUUGUUUCUGUUUUGUCUUUCUUUUUUCAUUUGUUUCUCUCUGUUUCUUUCUUUGUAUUUGCCAUCUUUUUACUUUCUUUCUUGUUCUUAUGUUUUAGUCAGAUUACUCCUUUUUUCUUCCUUUUUCGUCUUCUUCUCUUUUUUGUUUUCUUUUCUUUUUUGUUCACCUGUUUUUUCGUUUUCAUUUGGUUUUUCUUUGUUUCUUUCAUUGUUUUUAUCAUUUUUGGGUUUUCUUGGUUUGCAUUCUACAUUUUUCGUAUAUGUCAUGAAGAUUUUUCUAAUGCACGUUAAUACUUUUUAAUAUGACGUUAUUAUUAUCUAGGACAUGGUUAAUAAUUUUUCUAGUCAUAUUUAAAUACUUUAUAAAUGCUGGAUUUACAUUUUCUAAUAAUAGUUAAUAUUUUUAAUACACAUUUUAAAACAUUUUCAAAUGCUUGAUUAAAAAAUUCAAAAACAAGAUUAACAUUUUUAAUAAAAGGUCAAUAUUUUACCUAUACCCUCUUCACAAGAAUGCAAAUGCUUCAGUAACACUUGUCAAAUACAAGAUUAACAUUUUUUAAUACACGCUCAACAUUUUUUCUAUACACACUUUUAAAAAAAAUUCAAUGCUUGUUAACAUCUUUCGAAUACAAGAUUAACAUUUUUUAAUACAUAGUCAAAAAAAUUCCUACAAACUCUUUUAAACAUUUUCGACUGCAAGAUUAACAUUUUUCUGAAUGCAUGGUAAAAAAAAUUGUAUCCACAUUUAAAAUUUUCAAAUGCUUGAUUAAACAUUUUUAUAUACUUCUCCAACAUUUUUAAAAUUUCUUGAUUAAUAUUUUCAUAUAAAAUGAUCAAAAGGUUACAUCAUUUUUUAAUACAUGGUCAACAUUUUUUCUAUAUAAAUUCAACAUUUUUAAGCACUUGAUUAACAUUUUCCAAAUACUUGUUUAAAAUAUUCUAAAUACAUGAUCAACUUUUUUCACACCCAUUGUACAUUUUUUAAUACAUUGUUCGUAUAUGUGAUUAACAUUUUUUCAUACACAUUUAACAUUUUUGAAAUGCACUAUUGACAUUUUUUAGAACAUUUCUGAAAAAUAUAUUUUGUAGUAUAUAUAUUUAGAAUUUUUGGAGUGUAAACAAAAGUAAGAAAAUAAAUCAGAAAAAGAAAGCAAAAGGUCAACAAAAAAAAGACGAAAGCCAAUUAUUUGUUCAUGCCCUGGAAUUGGUCAUGCCAAUUAUUUGUUAGGGCAAGAUUGAGCUCAAUCCGAACGGGAGCGCCUAUACAGCGCGAUACUCGCCNNNNNNNNNNNNNNNNNNNNNNNNNNNNNNNNNNNNNNNNNNNNNNNNNNNNNNNNNNNNNNNNNNNNNNNNNNNNNNNNNNNNNNNNNNNNNNNNNNNNNNNNNNNNNNNNNNNNNNNNNNNNNNNNNNNNNNNNNNNNNNNNNNNNNNNNNNNNNNNNNNNNNNNNNNNNNNNNNNNNNNNNNNNNNNNNNNNNNNNNNNNNNNNNNNNNNNNNNNNNNNNNNNNNNNNNNNNNNNNNNNNNNNNNNNNNNNNNNNNNNNNNNNNNNNNNNNNNNNNNNUUUCAGCUUAAUUUCAGUUUCAAAAAAAUAGGAUUUCAGAAAAAGUUAGAAGUUGUCCAAUUAUUUGUGAAUUCAAAAGGUUGUUCCCUAUUUGAAAUUUCUUCAGGAAAUGAUAAAUUCUCAAGAAUUCAAAAAAUGUUCACAAUUUCGAAAAUAAUGUUCAUGUGCAAAAAAUAUUUAUAAAUUUCUAGAAAAUGUUCACCAUAUUCAAAAAAUGAGCAGGAAUUUUGAAAAAUGUUCCCCAAAUUCACAAAAUGUUCGCAAUUUCAAGAACUAUGAAGGAACUAAAAAAUGUUCGUCAAAAACAAAAAAAGCUCGGAAUUUCAAAAAAUGUUCAGAAAUUUCAGAAAAUAUUCGCCAUUUACAGAAAAAUUUACACAAUUUCAAGGAUUGUUCGUGAUUUUGAAAAAAAAAACCAUGAUUAUAUAAAACAUUUGACAGGUUUAAAAACUGUUCAUGAUUUCAUAAAAUUGUUUACUUUUUCAAAACAAUAUUCACGAAUUUGUAAAAAAAUAUUCAGCAAUUUGAAGAAUGUUCAUAAUUUCGAAAAAAAAUCGCAAUUUUAAGGAAGUUUGUUCGUAAAAUUGAUACAUGGCCGAACUUUUUUCAGAAAAGGUGAAAAUAAGGAAAAAGUAAAAAAAACAGAACAUUAAAGAAAAGAAAAAAUAAAAGAGUUAAUUGGAAAAGUUAAACAGAAAAAGGAAAUAAAAAACGGAAGAAAUAAACAAGAAAAAACCGGUUCUGGGAAGGUUCUAGAACCUUCCCAAAACCGGUGGGGAGGAAUCCCUAUAUGGGCCGGUCCAACGGACGCUGGGGGAGGGGAAGAGACCUCCUAUAAUCCGCACUCUGUGGGAAAGUGUCGUGGCUUCGCACAGGCGGCCUCCGGCUGGGCUGGCCCAGUACCGCCAGCGGACUUGUAUUGUAGCUCAAAAAAAACGACUUUGCAUGAAAUCGAACCAGGGAUCUCGUGCUGCAAAAUAGAAUUUGCGACCAGCUGAGCUAGCGAUCUUUUCUAGUAAGAUAGCAGCGUCAAUCUUUAAGAACCAACACACAGGGCAGUUCCGAAUUAUUUUUGUAAUUUCGAAUUCAUUUUUUUAACAAAAAAUGAGUAUUUUCUGACACGCGAAUACCUUUCAAAUUUCAGAAUGGUUUUUUAUAAACAGAAAUGUUUAAGAAAAUAAUUGACAUUUUUCGUAAUCAGGAACAAUUUUUUAAACGAGAAUUUUUUUUCAAAUUUCAAAAUAAAACUGGGGAAAUACAAACAUUUUAAACUCCUGACAAAAUAUGCAAAACAUGAACUUUUUUAUUGAAAUUUCUGAACAAUUUUUGACAAGGGAGUUUUUUUUUGAAACUUCAGAAAACGAAAACAUGAACAUUUUUUGAAACCGGAACAUUUUUUGAAAACUUGUGAAAUUUUGGAGCAGAAAUUAUUCCGAACUUUUUUUGUGAGAACACAAACAAUUUUUUGAAUAAGUGAAAUUUUUUUGAAAAAUGUAUGCGAACAUUGUUUUUGGAAAAAAUGAUCGUCUUGGAAUUUUUAUCAUUUUUAGAAGCAAGAACAUUUUUUGAAAGUCACGAACAUUUUUUUAACUCCCGAACAUUUUUUGAAAAUUUUGAACAAAAGCAUUCGCAACAUUUUAACCAAAACAAGAACAUUUUUUGAAAAUAAUGAACUUUUUCGAAUUUAUGAACAAUUUUUUAAAACGACUAUUUUUUAAAUUUUGAACAUUUUUAAAGGCAUGAACAUUUUCAAAAUUUAAGAGCAAUUUUGGAACAUGAACUUAGUUUAAAAAAGAUAAAAUAACCUUGAAAAGGAAAAAAUAAAAAUAAUAGAAAAAAAAGAAUAAAAGAAUAGAAAAAGAGGAAAAAGAAACAAAAACUAAAAAAAGAAAACAGAAAAACCAGCAAAAAAACAAAAAACCCGGUGUGGGGAACCUUCUAGAAGGUUCCCAAAACCGGCUGGCUGUUGCAAUUGUACACUCAACUGGGCCGACCCAUCACAUCGCUGCUCAGUCGCUCGCGUAUGCGAAGCGCCGGCAGUUUGACGCAAAGAGCUUCAAAUAGGAUUUCCCGAAGGGGAACGCGCCAAGGGAACUCCUAUUGGACACUCGCUGCGGCAAGCAGUCGGCAUUUCACACACGAGCAGCUUGGCUGGGCCGGCCCAUAUUGCGGGUGCGGCACAUUCGUAGGUUAAAAAUCGCGAAAAAGGAAAAAGGGUACUGGAAUCGAACCCAAGACUUCCUAUUGCUAAGCGCGAUGAGCUAGCCGCCCCAACUAGCUACUUCUUAUGGUAAAUUGGCAGCGCGAACCUAAAGAAAUUAACGGUAGCGAGAAAACAUAAAAUCUGAAUACGCAAAAUUACGAUGAACCAAGGUGUGAGCGAGGCACCUCUCAAUACAACUAGGUAGUCAAAAAAGGUAGCCCAACAAAUAUGAACUAUAAACCGCGACAAAGGCUAUAAUUAAAAAAAUUCAAACGUGAAUUCUUUUGGCAAAAAGUAAAUAUUUUCUGAAACGCACCCAUUUUAUAAUUUGUGAACAAAAUUUUAAAAAUUAGAACAUUGUAUGAAACCGAAAACAUGUUUUUGGAAUAAAAAAGGAAGAAAACUGAAAUUGCGAACAUUUUGUUUAAAUGCGACCACUUCAAAAUUUGUGAACAAUAAUUUUAAAAUUCGAACAUUUUCGUAAUUUCAUACGAGAACAUUUUUCAAAUUUGCGAACACUUUUUUGAAAAACAGAAUAGAAUUGAAAACCCAAACAUUUCGAAUUUCCCAAAACAUCUUUCGAAGACAUGAACAUUUUUGGAAUUUGUGAACAAAUUAUUUAAAGCACGAACGAUUUUGAAUCUUGAGAACAAAUUUGGAAGCGCCAACUAUUUUUUCAACCACGGACAUUUUUUGAAUCUUGAGAACAAAUUUUGAAAUGGAAAACAAUUUUGAAAUAUUCCGAACAAAUUUGGAAGCGCGAACAAUUUUUUAAAGCACGAACAUUUUUUCAAUCUUGAGAACAAAUUUUGAAACGAAGAACAAUUUUGAAAAAUCCCAAACAAAUUUGGAAGCGCGAACAUUUUCUUUAAAAAGUGAACAAAAUAUUGAAAUCUGCUACAUUUUUUGAAUUUCGAAAGUUUUGAACUUUUCUGUGUAACGAGAACAUUUUUUGAAUUUUGAGAACAUUUUUUCAAAAGCUGAACAUUUUCUGAAAACAUGAACAAAAUUUCAAAUUUUCGAUCUUUUUGAAGAAAAAAGAGAAGAAAAGAAAAAGAAAUAACAAAGAAAAUCCUUUUUUUGUAAAACUGCAAACAUGUUCUGAAAAAGAAAAAGAAACUUGAAAAAUAAAAGGUAACAAAAAAGAAAAAAUGAAAAAGAAACAGAAAACGAAAAAACAAUCAGGAAAGUGUAAAAAAAUGGAAAACCAAUAAAAGAAAAAAAACGGUUCAUGGAACCUUCUAGAAGGUUCAUAAAACCGGAGUGGGCAGUUUGUUUGCUAUGUACGUAAGUGGGCCGGUCCAAAAGCAUCGCUCGGUCGCUCGCUGUGUGCGAACCGCCGGCAGUUUGCCGCAAUGAGCGGCCAAUAGGAUUUUCUACGCGCCAACUCGCUAGCGAGCGACCUAUGCGCCAUAAAGGGAUCGCCAAUCCAAACAGCCCAGUUGCCGCGCCAUGGGCGCCAUCAAGCUCAGCUGGCACGCACUAUGGGCCGGCCCAGUUAACCUCAGCUCGCUCGUUUAAUUCCAAACUUCUAGGUCGGUGGCUCACCUGGUUCGACCGGUUGACCAAUAACUUAUUGACGGUUGAAGAGUCAAACCGUUAACCAUUCACUUUUUAAAAAGUUCAAAUUUUUAAGAAACAGAAAUAAAUAUGUUAGCAAAAUUAACAAAAAUCAUAAAUUUCAAAAAGAACGUGCCUUUGAAAAUUCAUGAUUUGUCUUUUUAAAAUCCAUGAAAUAUGGGGAAAAUGUUCACAAUUUUGAAAUAAAAUCAUUAAUUCGAAAAAUUUCAUGAAAUUUGGGGAAAAAAGUUCGUGAAUUUGACUACAAGUGACACGGAUUUGGGAAAAAAAAUCACGCAUUUAAAAAAAUCAAUUUUGAAUUAAAAUUUUCAUUUAUUAGAAUAAAGUUCACUGGAUUUUGAAAAAAAAGUCACGGAUUUGAAAGAAGUUCAUCGACUUUGAUAAAAGAAUUCACAAAUUUGAAAAACAUUCAUCAAUUUUGAAAAAGUGCCACGAAUUUGGAAAAAAUGUGAACAAAUAAAGUUAACGAAUUUGAAAAAAGAUCACCUAAUUUUGAAAAAAGGUUCGCGGAUUUGUGAAAAGUAUGUUGAUUGUGAUAAAAAUAAAUUUCAAAAAUUUGAAUGAAGUUAAUCAAUUUGAUAAAGUUCCCAAUUUGAAUAAAGUUCCAAAUUUUAUUAUUUUUCUAUGCAUCUUAGAAAAUAAAAAGAAAAAAGAAAAAAGAAAAAAGUAAACAAAAAAUUAACAACCCGAGCGAAAAAAACAGAUGAAAAAUUGGACAAACAAGAAAAGUCUAGAAGGCGCAGAAUAAGAAGCAACAGAAGUAUUAGAAAGCAUAGUGUGUGAGCCGUCCGAGUUGGUUACUGAAUUUGGAAGAAGACGGUGAGGUUCUAAGUUUGAACCUCACGACCCGCGUGACCUUUUGAAGGUUGAAAAAGAAGAAAAAUGGGCCGAGCCCAGGACACAGAGGGUGUACGCCGGUUUAUUCAUGUGCCUUAAAGUGGAGCAGGGGAAGGGAAUGCUCUUUUGCUGCUGACUAUCUUGUAUGGGCUUCUUCGAUCCCGACAGGUGGGGCACAAUCAGGGCAAGUUUGAUGAGGAUAAUGGUAUGUCAGAGGAUGAUAUCGAUCCAGGUGCGGCGACCAAGUGUAACGAGCUUAAAAAAAUUCAGAACGCCGCACCCCAUGCCUAGUCAGGAUCCACCUUGUGAUGCUACCGAUGCAUCGAACUCCCCGACAUAUUUUAAAUGUUCAGAACUUUUUUAAAUAAAAUAGCACAUUUACACAAAAUAAAUGUAUGUUGUCAUAAAAUUUCAAAUUAAAAUUUUAAAAUAGUGUAUGUUGUCUCAAAAACUCAAACUAAAAUUCAAAACAUAGCUCAAAAAACAAAAUGACAAAUUUGACAAUAAAUAGUACACCCCUCAACUCUAGCCCUAGUCUAAUUUACACCCCCAACUCCAAUAUCAUCUAGUUUACACCCCACAACUCUCAAAACCAGCUAGAAUUCAACCCUCCCCUCCCUGUUGACCGGUUUUGACCUGUUGACUGGGUGAACAGUAAAUUUAAAAGGAAUAAAAAAUUUAAAGAAAACAUGUUUAACCGAGUGAACAGUAAAUUCACAAGGAUAUAAAUAAAAAAUUCAAAAAAUAAAUUUGUUUUUUUAUUUUUUAUUUUGUUUGGUGAACAGUAGAUUCAGAAAAAUAAUAAAAAACAAAAAAAGACAAAUGUGACGUCUGUGAAACAGUUAACAAUACAUACUGUUCGGGACAAUCUUUUUUGUUGAGAGACCACUCAAAUAUCCAAACAAGCUGAAAAAUCGGCGCGGACAUCACGCAUUGAAAAUCAUCCAUGCAAAAAUAAUUCCGUUUUUUUUGAAAAAUUUAGUAUUUUUUUGAAUUUACUAUUCAGCCGGUAAAAAAUCAAAAAUGUUUGUUGAAUUUUAUUUCCAACUUUUUUAAAUUUACUGUUCACCCAUCGACAAACAAAAUUAUUUUUUGAUUAUUUUAGUUAUUGUUCAGCCAGUCAACGGGUCAAAUCUGGUCAACUGUGUCAAAACUGGUCAAUAUGGAGGCGAGGUUGAAUUUUGGCCGGUUUUGAGAGUUAGGGGGUGUAAACUAGACGGUAUUGAACUUGGGGGUGUAUAUUAGACUAGGUCUAGAGUUAAGGGGUGUAAUAUGCACUUCUCUCCUUUAGAUUUGACCCCUUGUCACAUUGAUGUCUAAUUAAUCACCUUUGUAUCUCGAGCAGUGUUUUGAAUUUUGAUAUAAAAUCUUAUGAUAAUAUACAUCGAUGUUGCAUCAAUAUGCUAGAUUUUAGAAGAAAAGAAACCCUCGGGUUUUCGGGGCAUUGCAUUCUCACCCAUCUCUUCAUACUCAAGCGACGUUCUCUCUUCUACUUCGUUGACUCUCGCUUUCGCGGUUGCCUCUCUAAGGCGGACACUAUCCUAUCAAUGCAUUUUGGCAUCCCACACCUUUAUUUUUUUGCGAGAAACUUUCAGUCUAUUCAUUUUCAAUCAUGGUGGUUCAAAGAAUAACAGUGGUAAUAAAAACUUAGCCCCCUUUCGUACAACCUGUUCUCUCUUUGUGAAAGGCCUCUGAUUUCAUGAUCUAAUUUGAAGAACUGGCUUAAGAUCGUAGCUCUAGUUGAAAAAAUCCCCCACUCAAGUUAGGCCCUGGAAAACCAACCAAAGAAUGGAAGGAAUGCGCGAUGGAGGCCCUCGUAAAUUAUAAUUUGAACUAUAGCCAGGGCAAAUCUCUUAAUAUCGGAGGUUGGUUUCUAGGCAGGUGCAUAGGAGCCGUCAAAGGAAAGGCGAGAAGCCUUGGCUUUGAUGCACCCCGAUUUAUACAAAAAGGAUCAGAGGUCAAAUUAGUUAACGAAUUAUGAUAUUUGUGAAACAUACAUAAUGUGCUACCCCUCCGUUCCAUAAUGUAAGACUUUUUUUGAUACUACAAUAGUCAAAAAAAUAUGUUACAUUAUGAAACGGAGGGAGUAGAUUUUUAAACAAGGGAACUUCAAUGAAGCCAGAUUCUAUUUUUUAAACAAGGAAUUUCAAUGAAGCCAGAUUCUAUUUUUGCAAAUGCUGCAGCGACUUCUUUGACAGGAAUUCAUCAAUAAAAAAAGUGGAAGAGCAUGAAGCUUCAUUCCCUUGCAAGCUGAUAUGGCGCCUGGCAUUCCACAUUCAAAACAAGCAAUCUCGGGCCGCAGCUUCUAAGAAUCUCAGCUAGCAGGUUUUGCAGCGACCCUCCCCGAGAGGAUAACUAAGGGCGUGUUUGGUUGCCCGCAUAAGAUCCAACCAGGCCCGCGCGUGAAGGAUUCGGCCUGUUUGGUAGCCUGCAUACAUUAUUGGGCCUACAUCGCAUGCUUCUUAAAGCAUCUCAGGGCCUGGCUCACUGAAAACGCACGAAUCGGCAGUUUCUCUAGGGACAGGCCCGAGCGGUGCACGUGGGCGGGCGCGGCUGCACGCGCGCGGCCACGCUCGAGAAGCCGCGUUGCUUCCCGAAGCACCGGCAGUUAUUAGCCUCACCGCCCCUCACCGCUCCCUCUCCCCACUCUUCCCCACUCUUCCAACUCUCACCGGCGGCGGCGGAUUGGAACAGAGGAAGAAGACCACCGGACUCCAUCACCAGCGACGGCGGAUCAGAGCAGAGGAAGAAGACCACCAGACUCCAUCAAUGGUGGUAAGCACUUCUCUCUCUUCGACAUGAACACUUGAUUCGAUCCACGGCGAUAGAUUUGAUCCACGGCGGACGAGAAUGGGGAACAGAGGUAGCUAAGCAUAGGGGUAAUUCAUACUAGUUCAUAGCAGUUCAUACGAGUUCAUACAUAGCAGUUCAUACAUGCAAGAUCGGUAGAUUUCGCGAUUGGGGGAUAGGGGAAUAGGGGGAAAGGGGGUACAGAACGGACACCGGCUGACCGUGGCGGCCGUCACCGGCGUGCGGAGCGGCUGGUCGAGCCGCUGGCCUUCAUCUUCUUAUUCAUCGCCGUGCGGUCCGGCGGGUCAUCCUCGGCGGAGUCGAGGUCGGUCUGCCAAGUAGGACGGACUGGCUUCGGUGCCCUAACCGCCUCUUCUUCCUCCUCCUUAGACUCCCCGCCAAUGACCGCCGACGGCGCGAUACCCGUCCCCAGUACACUGCGGCACGGCGGUCAUUAGGAGCCCAGUAGGUCUUGUACUUGCACCACUUCUUCCUCUGUUUAGGGUCGUCGGAGACGGCCUGAUUCAUGGCCCAGCAAAUGAUGUCAACUGCCAUCGCACCCUUCGCUGGGUCAGGAAUCAGUGUCUUCAGCUCAUCUUUAGUGGCCUUCAUGAGCACGACAUUGGAUUCGUUCUGCAUGUCCAGCAUGGAGCCGAAGUUCGAGCACACCUCCAUGGUGUUCUCGAACUUGGUCCGAUCACCAGCCGUCCACCCGAGAAAGAAGGCCCUCCAGCCAAUACCCCAAGGGAAGGGGUUGCCGUUGGAGCUGGAGCUAGAGCUCAUGGCGAUAGGGAGGAGGAAGGUUGACAGUGAGAGAAGAGAGGGGGUGGGUAAAUAGUGGUGGGUAGGGUGAGUAAAUAUAGGGGGUGGAGAGGAGGAGAAGAGUGACAGUCAUGUCGUUUUAACUACAAGCUCUUGAAUUAGCCAUGAACUCUGUGCAAUGCCUGAUUCCAUGACUUGUGUGCAGAUCGAGGAUAGCAAUGAGAUGGGCACGGAGGUACUCUCGGCCGUUGAUAGCAAGGGCAAGCAGCCCCUUCACCCAAUGCCUGACGAGGUUGAGCUACCGCCCACCACCGAGGAAGACCCGAAAACGCGUGAGGGUGGCGACGACGAGGGCAUGGAGGAGCCCCUAGCAACAAGUGCCGCAACUACGGCCACUACCAUCAAGAGGAUGACCCAACUCACUUCCGCAAGGUCAUCCUUGCACCGAAGCUUGAGUGCAUCCCCAUGCCCCUGGACUUCACCAAGCACUUCGUCGCGGUGCCGACGGAGUUCAAGCUCAGGAAGAACACCGACUGCUCCUGGAAGGUAACGGUCAAGCUGAUGAACGGCAGGGUGACCCUAGAUCAGGGUUGGGCCACCUACGCAGCCGUUCAUCAGAUCAACAUCGGCUACAUGGUGAUGUUCAAGCUCCUCACUCCCGACACCCUCAAGGUCAUCAUCUUCGACGACGAUAGCAUUGAGGUCAUCAACAAGUGCGGGAAGCACAACGAAGCCUUCGCCGCCAAGGAGUAGGGCCGGGGCACCUUCUUUUUAAUUACUAUCGAGUCUGCUUUGAACUGUUUAUGGUUUAUGCGUUGAAAUGUUAUAUCUGUGGUACUGCUUAUAUCUGAAUUAUGCUAGUUGAUGCUCUGUUUAUACUCUGUUGUGCUUAUGAUGUGUGAUGCCAAAGUGUGGUGGUAACCUCACCAACUAGCCAAAUAGAUUACCACACAUCAGGCCUUGCAUAUAAUAAAACACCAUGCCUUGGGUUUGUGGACUAACAUGCAGGCAACCAAACACCAGGCAGUGUGGUUCAGCCCAUGCAGGUAAGAGGGCAUGCAGGCAACCAAACAACAUGCAUAUGGUGCAUUUGAGGCUGCAUUUGCAUAGCCAGGUUGGAUGGAGAAAUUUAUGCAAUGCGGGUACUGUAGCACACGGCAACCAAACACGCCUUAGGAAGCUCACUCUAAUUAGACCAGCUGCAAUACGUUGGAUGUUAGGAUCCUCCUAGCAUGUACACGUACAGAGGCUGCCCCUUGGACCAGCCCAUGGACUUGGCCCUCGGUGCAGCUACUUAAGCAUGGUGUACAGAAGGAGAGGGUAUCCAGUGGAUCACGAACGAACCGACGACGGCUCUUUCCUCCUACCUUCUUCCCCCUGUUGCAAGCUUCCUCUGUUCUUCUCAUCCAUUGUGUAAUUCCUCUGUAAUCACUACUCUAUAUUGCUACUCGUGAGAGAGAUCGAUCUAUACAAGCUAGCUACCAUCACCUCUCUUACAUCUGGUAUCAGAGACCAGCCACCACUCCUUCCCUAUGCGUUUCGCCAAGCUCGUCGGCAUCGGGCAGCCAUGGAUCCAUGGAUGCAGGCGUAUCUCGAGCGGAUCGACACCAUGCUCGAUGCCUACACAGACGCCACCAGGUCCCUCACCGAGAAAGUGGACGCUCUGGUCGUCGUCUGGCGGCCAGACCUGGAGAAGAGGUCCUCCCACACCGCCGUCGUCCACGGUCCACCGGCGCCGACCUCGGCGCUCGAGACCACUACUGAGGCGUCUGAACCCGUCCCUAACAUCUACUACUCCACCACCAAGGCCCAGGAGAUCCCCACGGUCGCCCAUGAUGCAACUCCGAUAUGCAUUCCGAUGGUGCCUGUCACCUGUUCGACGGAUUGCCCGACCCAGAUCGACGCCAUCGACAGCGCCGACGAAGUCCAUGACGCCGCCAGCGUCGCAACAGAGGUUCGCAACACUACAACCGCACUCGGCCCCGAGCUCGCGGUCGACCUCUGCAACACCUGUGGUCACUAUGGCAAGUUCGACGGCCUCAACAUCCCCGUGAAGGCCAGCAUCAGCCCGCCGCCCCACGUCCAGGAUGCAUUCCCAAAUUCCACAAUCAGCAAUUGUCGUGCCGAUGUUGCCGGGACGGACGAGUACGCACUCGUGGAGGCCACUCCAGACGUCGCCAUUGAGCUUGCCAUCCUCCCAGGCGUCUCCUCCUUCAUGAACAAACUAUUCUGGAAGCAUGACAUGGACGUCUCGCCGCCCACAAGGCACAAAGGGCUGCCAAUACGGCCGACACCAUGGCCGUCAUUUUUGGUGCAUCAUAGUGCAAAGGGGAACGAGAUUCGACCCACUCCGUGGCUAUCGUUUUCUUGCUCUCAUGAAGGUAUGACUCUGAAUCAUGAAACUCUGCUGCCUCAUGUUACAUGUGUGAUGAAGAAAUUACUUGCUAGAGGAUGCACUGAUUUCACACUCGGAAAGACUGGUUUACCCAGAUUUCACGUUGAUAAUUCCGCGUAUAGUUCUAAGCAAGUUGGUGAUCUUUUGGUGCACCGACCGCUUGUGAUACUGAAGCAUAGGGGCUGCCUAAAACCUUUGAGCAGCAAGACUGAAGUACCUUGUUGGUGUGAUCACUUCAUCAGCAGAAGUCCACAAAUAUCCCAGGCAAUGCAUUGCCAACUAGUAAAUGAGCUGAAACCUUCUUGGCUGCUGAAUUAUUUAUCUGUUGUCCUGAAUUCUUUCUCAACAUUCUCAAGAUAUUUGCCAAGGGUAGAGCAGGUGCCCAGUAUUUUUCUGAAGGUUGUUUCCAGGAUCCGUAUGGUGCCAAUAGAUAUUCUUAUUCUGAGCAAUCGGUUAAUCCUAUUACCUCUCUCAUGGUUGUCCACUGUUGUGGCCUGAUUCCCGUGGAGGAGCACUUCAAUUGUGUGCAAAAUACCGAGUUGCAGUUUUCCUAUUUACUAGCUGGAAGAACAUAUACUGAUAAAUGGUUAAGUCAAAAAGGUUCCGAGGGAAUUGAGUGCUUGGAUAUCUUGUUGAUCAGUCUACAGUGUAUUGACGACCGCCUAGCAGAAAUUAUGUUCGAUGAGAUUGCGCUGCAGCUUGCUACACAUUGCAAGGAAUUUGGCAUUGCAGGAGAGGUGUUGAACAGCUAUGUUUCUCCUGUUGCUUCAGUGGAGCACCCACCCUGUACUUUUGGGCAGCUUAUCCUAUUUGUGUCAAUGCACUGGAACAAUUCAUGUCGGAAGGGAUUCAAAAGAAGUGGUCAUACUGCAAUCAGCUUACACGUACAAGAGUAAUUCACUAGUGUGUGAAACUGCUAGUUCAGUUAAAGGGUUGACUGGAUUGAAAUCUGAGGAUGUCGGGUCUAACUCAAUAACAUUCUCAAGGAGGGAGGGGUGUCAUCGCUGUCGCAGCCCGCUUCGCGCAAAGCUCCAUCGACCACAAGUACUACAUUGACUUUAACAAUGACUACUUCCUCGACAGUUCCUUCGGUGGGAUCGCAAUCGUCCAUAACUACUACUCCCAUGUUGUUAAAGCCAUCUCUGCCUUUAGCUGCCGCUACGACUUUGAGCCAGUCAAGGACCAUCGAGUGCAAUGGGACCCGGGCGAUUUUCGGUGGCACCGGCUUGGGGUCAAGCCGGAUUUCAAGGAGGGAGGGAUGUUAGGAGCCUCCUAGCCUGUACACGUACAAGGGCUGCCCCUUGGACCAGCCCAUGGACUUGGCCCUCGGUGCAGCUACUUAAGCGUGGUGUACAGAAGGAGAGGGUAUCCAGUGGAUCACGAACGAACCGACGACGGCUCUUUCCUCCUACCUUCUUCCCCCUGUUGCAAGCUUCCUCUGUUCUUCUCCUCCAUUGUGUAAUUCCUCUGUAAUCACUACUCUAUAUUGCUACUCGUGAGAGAGAUCGAUCUAUACAAGCUAGCUACCAUCACCUCUCUUACAUCUGGUAUCAGAGACCAGCCACCACUCCUUCCCUAUGCGUUUCGCCAAGCUCGUCGGCAUCGGGCAGCCAUGGAUCCAUGGAUGCAGGCGUAUCUCGAGCGGAUCGACACCAUGCUCGACGCCUACAUCGACGCCACCAGGUCCCUCACCGAGAAAGUGGAUGCCCUGGUCGUCGCCUGGCGGCCAGACCUGGAGAAGAGGUCCUCCCACACCACCGUCGUCCACGGUCCACCAGCGCCGACCUCGGCGCUCGAGACCACUACUGAGGCAUCCGAACCCGUCCCUAACAUCUACUACUCUACCACCAAGGCGCAGGAGAACCCCACGGUCGCCCAUGAUGCAACUCCGAUAUGCAUUCCGAUGGUGCCUGUCACCUGUUCGACGGAUUGCUCGACCCAGGUCGACGCCAUCGAGAGCGCCGACGAAGUCCAUGACGCCACCACCGUCGCAAUGGAGCUUCACAACACUACAACUGCACUCGGCCCCGAGCUUGCGGUCGACCUCUGCAACACCAUGGCGACCACCAAGGUAGCCACCUGUGGUCACUACGGCAAGUUCGACGGCCUCAACAUCCCCGUGAAGGCCAGCAUCAGCCCGCCGCCCCACGUCCAGGAUGCAUUUCCAAAUUAUUCCACAAUCAGCAACUCCCGCGCCGAUGUUGCCGGGACGGAUGAGUACGCACUCGUGGAGGCCACUGCAGACGUCACCAUUGAGCUUGCCAUCCUCCCAGGCGUCUCCUCCUUCAUGAACAAGCUAUUCCGGAAGCAUGACAUGGACGUCUCGCCGCCCGCAAGGCACAAAGGGCUGCCAAUACGGCCGACACCAUGGCCGUCAUUUCUGGUGCAUCAUACUGCAAAGGGGAAUGAGAUUCGACCCACUCCGUGGCCAUCGUUUUCUUGCUCUCAUGAAGGUAUGACUCUGAAUCAUGAAACUCUGCUGCCUCAUGUUACAUGUGUGAUGAAGAAAUUACUUGCUAGAGGAUGUAGUGAUUUCACACUCGGAAAGACUGGUUUACCCAGAUUUCACGUUGAUAAUUCCGCGUAUAGUUCUAAGCAAGUUGGUGAUCUUUUGGUGCGCCGACCGCUUGUGAGACUUAAGCAUAGGGGCUGCCUAAAACCUUUGAGCAGCAACACUGAAGUACCUUGUUGGUUUGAUUACUUCAUCAGCAGAAGUCCACAAUACCCCAGGCAAUGUAUUGCCAACUAGAAAAGGAGCUGAAACCUUCUUGGCUGCUGAAUUAUUUAUCUGUUGUCCUGAAUUCUUUCUCAACAUUCUCAGGAUAUUUGCCAAGGGUAGAGCAGGUGCCCAAUAUUUUUCUGAAGGUUGUUUGCAGGAUCCGUAUGGUGCCAAUAGAUAUUCUUAUUCUGAGCCAACCGGUUAACCCUAUUACCUCUCUCAUGGUUGUCCACUGAUGUGACCUGAUUCCCGUGGAGGAGCACUUCAAUUGUGUGCAAAAUACCGAGUUGCAGUUUUGCUAUUCACUGGCUGGAAGAACAUAUACUGAUAAACGGUUAAGUCAAAAUGGUUCCGAGGGAAUUGAGUGCUUGGAUAUCUUGUUGAUCAGUCUACAAUGUAUUGACGACCGCCUAGCAGAAAUUAUGUUCGAUGAGAUUGCGCUGCAGGUUGCUAUACAUUGCAAGGAAUUUGGCAUUGCGGGAGAGGUGUUGGGCAGCUAUGUUUUUCCUAUUGCUUCAGUGGAGCACCCACCCUGUACUUUUGGGCAGCUUAUCCUAUUUGUGUCAAUGCACUGGAACAAUUCAUGUCGGAAGGGAUUCAAAAGAAGUGGUCAUACUGCAAUCAGCUUACUCAUUGGCAAUGCAUGGCGACGGUGUUCCAAUCUCCUUGAAAAUUGCAUAAUGAUCCUCCGAGGUCUAUUAUGGUGCUUGUGGUUUGUGAGAGAGUACAAUGAAGAUUGUUGUUUCACUAAGCAGCCAUUACAUGAUGGUAAACAGGCUUUCGACACUAUGUGCAUGUUCUAUUAGUACGGCUCUUGUACUACACCUAUCUUGCGACAAUGGAUGCACAUCUAUUUCAGAGCAUGCAGAGAAUGGGUUCCCUGAGCACAGAAAGUUCGAGCAUUAUUUUUCUUCAGUCAAUGCAACUUCAGCCAUAUGUGCUAGUCUGCUGCGUUAUCUUCUCAGUGCAGUCCUCUUAUGAAUUAUAUGAGCAUUGUGUACUGGAGCGUGCUGUCAUAUUUCUGGGUGUGACAAAAUGCAGGGGGCAAAUCAGAUUAUGAGCAUGUUAGUGGUAUGGAUUUUCUGAGUGAAGAUGAAUUUAAGGGGAAUGGUCGUGUGGAGAUGCUCAGAUUCAGGAGUAAUUCACUAGUGUGUGAAACUGCUAGUUCAGUUAAAGAGUUGACUGGAUUGAAAUCUGAGGAUGUCGGGUCUAACUCAAGAACAUUCUCAAGGAGGGAGGGGUGUCAUCGCUGUCGCAGCCCGCUUCGCGCAAAGCUCCAUCGACCACAAGUACUACAUUGACUUCAACAAUGACUACUUCCUCGACAGUUCCUUCGGUGGGAUCGCAAUCGUCCAUGACUACUACUCCCAUGUUGUUAAAGCCAUCUCUGCCUUCAGCUGCCGCUACGACUUUGAGCCAGUCAAGGACCAUCGAGUGCAAUGGGACCCGGGCGAUUUUCGGUGGCACCGGCUUGGGGUCAAGCCGGAUUUCAAGGAGGGAGGGAUGUUAGGAGCCUCCUAGCCUGUACACGUACAGGGGUUGCCCCUUGGACCAGCCCAUGGACUUGGCCCUCGGUGCAGCUACUUAAGCGUGGUGUACAGAAGGAGAGGGUAUCCAGUGGAUCACGGACGAACCGACGACGACUCUUUCCUCCUACCUUCUUUCCCCUGUUGCAAGCUUCCUUUGUUCUUCUCCUCCAUUGUGUAAUUCCUCUGUAAUCACUACUCUGUAUUGCUACUUGUGAGAGAGAUCGAUCUAUACAAGCUAGCUACCAUCACCUCUCUUACAUCUGGUAUCAGAGACCAGCCACCACUCCUUCCCUACGCGUUUCGCCAAGCUCGUCGGCAUCGGGUAGCCAUGGAUCCAUGGAUGCAGGCGUAUCUCGAGCGGAUCGACACCAUGCUCGACGCCUACACCGACGCCACCAGGUCCCUCAUCGAGAAAGUGGACGCACUGGUCGUCACCUGGCGGCCAGACCUGGAGAAGAGGUCCUCCCACACCGCCGUCGUCCACGGUCCACCAGCGCCGACCUCGGCGCUCGAGACCACUACUGAGGCGUCCGAACCUGUCUCUGGCAUCUACUACUCCACCACCAAGGCCCAGGAGAUCCCCACGGUCGCCCAUGAUGCAACUCCGAUAUGCAUUCCGAUGGUGCCUGUCACCUGUUCGACGGAUUGCUCGACCCAGGUCGACGCCAUCGACAACGCCGACGAAGUCCAUGACGCCGCCACCGUCGCAACGGAGGUACGCAACACUACAACAGCACUCGGCCCCGAGCUCGCGGUCGACCUCUGCAAGACCAUGGCGACCACCAAGGUAGCCACCUGUGGUCACUACGGCAAGCUCGACGGCCUCAACAUCCCCGUGAAGGCCAGCAUCAGCCCGCCGCACCACGUCCAGGAUGCAUUCCCAAAUUAUUCCACAAUCAGCAACUGUCGCGCCGAUGUUGCCGGGACGGAUGAGUACGAACUCGUGGAGGCCACUCCAGGCGUCGCCAUUGAGCUUGCCAUCCUCCCAGGCGUCUCCUCCUUCAUGAACAAGCUAUUCCGGAAGCAUGACAUGGACGUCUCGCCGCCCACAAGGCACAAAGGGCAGCCAAUACGGCCGACACCAUGGCCGUCAUUUCUGGUGCAUCAUAGUGCAAAGGGGAAUGAGAUUCGACCCACUCCGUGGCCAUCGUUUUCUUGCUCUCAUGAAGGUAUGACUCUGAAUCAUGAAACUCUGCUGCCUCAUGUUACAUGUGAGAUGAAGAUUACUUGCUAGAGGAUGCAGUGAUUUCACACUCGGAAAGACUGGUUUACCCAGAUUUCACGUUGAUAAUUCCGCGUAUAGUUCUAAGCAAGUUGGUGAUCUUUUGGUGCGCCGACCGCUUGUGAUACUGAAGCAUAGGGGCUGCCUAAAACCUUUGAGCAGCAACACUGAAGUACCUUGUUGGUUUGAUUACUUCAUCAGCAGAAGUCCACAAAUACCCCAAGCAAUGUGUUGCCAACUAGAAAAGGAGCUGAAACCUUCUUGGCUGCUGAAUUAUUUAUCUGUUGUCCUGAAUUCUUUCUCAACAUUCUCAGGAUAUUUGCCAAGGGUAGAGCAGGUGCCCAGUAUUUUUCUGAAUGUUGUUUGCAGGAUCCGUAUGGUGCCAAUAGAUAUUCUUAUUCCGAGCCAAUCGGUUAAUCCUAUUACCUCUCUCAUGGUUGUCCACUGUUGUGACCUGAUUCCCGUGGAGGAGCACUUCAAUUAUGUGCAAAAUACCGAGUUGCAGUUUUGCUACCCACCCUGUACUUUUGGGCAACCUAUCCUAUUUGUGUCAAUGCACUGGAACAAUUCAUGUCGGAAGGGAUUCAAAAGAAGUGGUCAUACUGCAAUCAGCUUACACAUUGGCAAUGCAUGGCGACGGUGUUCCAAUCUCCUUGAAAAUUGCAUAAGGAUCCUCCGAGGUCAAUUAUGGUGCUUGUGGUCUGUGAGACAGUGCAAUGAAGAUUGUUGUUUCACUAAGCAGCCAUUACAUGAAAGUAAACAGGCUUUCGACACUAUGUGCAUGUUCUAUUAGUACGGCUCUUGUACUACAGUAUUCCUAUCUUGCAACAAUGGAUGCACAUCUAUUUCAGAGCAUGCAGAGAAUGGGUUCCCUGAGCACAGAAAGUUCGAGCAUUAUUUUUCUUCAGUCAAUGCAACUUCAGCCAUAUGCGCUAGUCUGCUGCGUUAUCUUCUCAGUGCAGUCCUUUUAUGAAUUACUAGUAAUUUGCCCGUGUGUUGCUAUGGAAUAAAAUAGAUGUAUAUGAAUAUAUUACAAAAAAAUCAUUGCAUUUUGUGGAAUCCCUACCACAUACUCGUUGGGUUCUGUUUCUCUUAAUUUGUUUAUCUCCUCUUCCAUUCCCUCACAUUUGUUCUCUCCGGUCACCAACUCUUCCUCUAGCCCCUCCAUCACUUCCUCCAACUUUGAUGAAUCUCAUCCAUGGAUGUUUAGAGCUGAAGAAUGGUGACACAUUAAGUGACAACGUGGGUUUCACUUUUUAGAUGCCACUUUCUUUGAACCCCUAAACACAAACACAUAUUAUUUCUAGCCUCGGUUUCUUUUCCUCCCUAGCAUUUUCCACCUUAGCCUUUUAGACACCUAAUUUGUUUUGUCCCCCUUUACCACGGUGACAAUUUGAAUUCAUAUGGUUAAAAACAUAAAAAUCACAUAUGCUCUUAAAUGCAAUGGCAAAAAGUAAUCUGGUGAGCUCUCUCUAAAUCAAAAUGUCCAAGACAAAACUGGACACCGUGUACAUGUACUGUAGAUCAGUAGUGUAGUUACUUAGAACUUGGACAAUAUUCUUGAUAAUUUUUGCAACAAGAAGUUGAGGGCCACUAUGGACUAAUUCUGUAUAGUAUAUAAUGUUACAGAUAUGACUGUGAUGUUGUGAAAAUAAAGUGAAUAGUUUCAAUAGUCAACAUGCUGUAAAGUAUCCUCUUAAGUUGAGGCCCUACCGCUGCUAUGAGGCAAAUUAGUAAAUUUACACGCUUGAUUGCAAAUGGAACAACGGCACAUACUUUGUGGUGCUUAAAUAAGCUAGGGUGAUGUAGUGUCAAUUAAAGAGUGGAAGGUGAUUAUUUUCUAACAAUAUAGGAUGAAAGCACAAGACAUUUUGAGAUCCUUGGAUUCACACGGAACAUAACAAAAGUAACACACAGAUCAAUCAAAUACUAUAUCUUUAAACAAAACAAAACCAGUAAUUAGUUUUCGACCAUACAUUGUACAUUACAGCGACAAACAUUAGUUCCAAAAUGACACCCAAUUCAACAGAUAUGUAGCAGCUUAAUGAGCCAUGUUACAAUAAUCAAGAACCAAAAUAGACACUUCUUUCCAUCUAUGCAUUCUUGCUGGCAAGAGUCACAGCUCAAGUCUUCUUUCUCCUAAGUGCAUUUCUUGCUUCUUUGUCUUAGAUUGGAUCUUUCAGUACUACAGAGGAACAAUGCAAGCACAAAACAUUCGAGCAAGAAUAUCUGAAAGUGCGUCAUCUACCGUCCUUGGUUCAAAAGGUCUAGACAAAAGGCUCCAACAUCAUGCCAUACUACUAAAGCUUGCUCCUGAUCCAUGAGUGUUUUACUAAGAUCGUUGUCGAUCCUGCAAAAGUAUUUAUACUUAAAUUUGGCAUAAAUGUGUUCCUUGCAUUACCUCUGAUCCAUCUGACGCCAGCUGCAAUAGAGCAGUGCUAUCCAGACGACAUUAUUUGGACGAUUUGCAGCCGACGAUUGAAUCCAGCCGUGCAAUCUUGUUCACGGCAGAGCAACGGCCGGUGGAUUCUUUAAUCGUGCACAGAUCGUCCAAAAGUUUAUCGUGUGUGAAGCAGUUUCGGCUGCAAUAUUUGGACCAAAGUACCCCUUGCUAAAAACAGUAGUAUGCAGAUCGUGCUCUACUUGAAGACAAAACGAUGAUUAAUAUAUAUAAAUGAUGCUAUGGAUACAUGAUACAAUUAGAUUAUCUAUAACGAAUAAACCAGCACCAUCCUUACCAACUUCAUGCUUUACUCUCAGCAUGGUAACUACAACGAUGGUACACGCCUCAACACUUAUCGGCCAAGUGGUUUGAUUAUUGUCACUAACUAAUUUCUGAACUUAUCUGUAUACUAACUGUUUGAAGUAAGCACUAAAAAGUACAUGCUGCUCAUGUUCAGGGAGAUGACGUACUUUAGAGAACCCAUACAUAACAGACAAAGUUUCAAAACGUACAAGAAGUCCAAACAUCAUGGAUAAAAUUAGAAUCCAAGAUUCUUGUCUCGUGCACACAUUCAUCUACAACCACGAGCUGCAGUUCACUUAAUUAUGAAGUAUGAACUAACUCAUCAAGGACUCAGUUAAGCAUCAGCAGGAGUAAGACAGAGGAGGUGGAAAUGCGCUCGGAUGGAAGCAAAUCAGAGCAGAGCACGACGUACUGUCCACAUGUUUGUCGACAUGGUGGCAUUGCGCUCCUGAGGAUCCGGUGCAGCUCUGGAGCGAGAGCGCCGACAUGGGGUGUGACCUCCAUGCGGUCUGGUGAUGGCAGGUGGGCAGUGGGCAUGCCCGCAGGGUGUGCGGCCUCCAGACAGUCGCAAGUACGGCGAACGAGCACGCUUGAAGAGGUUGCGGCUUCCGCGAUUCAUUGACGGUGAGCUAGUAGUACUGGCAGCGGUAGUGGCCACCACGCGGCACGGGUGACAGCGAGCGAGCAGGGCAUCAGACACAGAGCGUGAUGGACAGAAAGAAAGACACAGGAAGGGAGAGGGAUGAAGAAGCUGGGAGAAUUGGGGCGGUGUACAUGACGAUCUGAAUUUUGAACUAAGAUUGGGAACACCCAUGUCAGGGGAAGGGGUAUUGGGGGAGGUUGGCGGCAUGGGGGAAGCUGGCGGCAGCAAGACACAUUAGAGGGAGGCCGUGAGCAGGGGAGGUAAGAAGGCUUGGUUGCCUGGCUGCCGGUACGUGGAGCUCGGCGAGGAGGAAGGAGAGGUCGUGUGCGGCGGGGCUCCUACAUCAGAGUCUCGUGUGAGGAAGCAGGAGAGUCCUCGCGGGACUCAAGGGGCGGAUGGCGCCGGCGGCGUAGUUGCCGAUCGUCGGAGGAGAAGGGGUAGGGUUGGAGGAGAAGGUGGUGGGCGGCGGGUCUGCUGCAUCGGAGGAGAAGGCAUGAGAGGAGUCGCAGACUCGGCGGAAGGACGGCACCAGCGGCGUACUUGCCGAUGUCGGCGUCGUAGGAGACGAGGUAGGGGGAGGAGGAGACGACGGGGAGGUGCGUGUGGCGGUGGCCGGUGAGGUUCCUAUGGCAAAGAGGAGGGACGGAGCGCCNNNNNNNNNNNNNNNNNNNNNNNNNNNNNNNNNNNNNNNNNNNNNNNNNNNNNNNNNNNNNNNNNNNNNNNNNNNNNNNNNNNNNNNNNNNNNNNNNNNNNNNNNNNNNNNNNNNNNNNNNNNNNNNNNNNNNNNNNNNNNNNNNNNNNNNNNNNNNNNNNNNNNNNNNNNNNNNNNNNNNNNNNNNNNNNNNNNNNNNNNNNNNNNNNNNNNNNNNNNNNNNNNNNNNNNNNNNNNNNNNNNNNNNNNNNNNNNNNCAAAUGUGAAGUGGGGUUGGCUCCUAUGCGUUGGAUGCAGAUCAAACGGCCCAAAAAGAUAGAUGGCAGGCACACCAUCACCAUCAACUCAGAUUUUUAUAGGAGUAGAGAUAGAGAUAUGAGCAUCGUGUACUGGAGCGUGCUGUCAUAUUUUUGGGUGUGACAAAAUGCAGGGGGCAAAUCAGAUUAUGAGCAUGUUAGUAGUAUGGAUUUUCUGAGUGAAGAUGAAUUUAAGGGGAAUGAUCGUGUGGAGAUGCUCAGAUUCAGGAGUAAUUCACUAGUGUGUGAAACUGCUAGUUCAGUUAAAGGGUUGACUGGAUUGAAAUCCGAGGAUGUCGGGUCUAACUCAAGAACAUUCUCAAGGAGGGAGGGGUGUCAUCGUUGUCGCAACCCACAUCGCGCAAAGCUCCAUCGACCACACAACGACUACUUCCUCGACAGUUCCUUCGAUGGGAUCGCAAUCGUCCAUGACUACUACUCCCAUGUUGUUAAAGCCAUCUCUGCCUUCAACUGCCGCUAUGACUUUGAGCCAGUCAAGGACCAUCGAGUGCAAUGGGACCCGGGCGGUUUUCGGUGGCGCCGGCUUGGGGUCAAGCCGGAUUUCAAGGAGGGAGGGAUGUUAGGAGCCUCUACACAUACAGGGGCUGCCCCUUGGACCAGCCCAUGGACUGCCCUCGAUGCAGCUACUUAAGCAUGGUGUACAGAAGGAGAGAGUAUCCAGUGGAUCACGAACGAACCGACGACGGCUCUUUCCUCCUACCUUCUUCCCCCUGUUGCAAGCUUCCUCUGUAAUCACUACUACCUCCGUUCGGGUUUAUUAAUCCCCAUUGUAUUUCGUGCCAAAUUUUGACCAUAGAUCAAACUAACAAAAUGUUCACGCAUGUCACCAAACAUUAUAUUUUUGAAAACUAUGUUCAAAUACGAAUCCAAUGAGAUAAUUUUUCUUGACAUGCAUUAACAUUUUGUUAGUUAAAUCUUUAGUCAAAAUUUGGCACAAACUACAAAGGGGACCUAUAAACCAGGAGGGAGGUAGUACUCUAUUGCUACUCGUGAGAGAGAUCAAUCUAUACAAGCUAGCUACCAUCACCUCUCUUACAUUGGGUUUCAAUAAUCUGCUGCACAAAAUCUGGUUUUUGAAAGCUUUAUCCUGAGGGACCCUUAAAGCCAUUGCAGCAACACAAUUCUGGCGCAUGCUGCACAAAAUCUGGUUUUGGAAGCUGAGCCCAAGGGACACUUCACACCAUUACGUCCUAACUCGAACACAGUUCUGGCUCUCAACAAGGAUCGCAGCAUCAAACAUCUCAACCAACGAGAACCUCAAACAAGGCAAAAGCAGAAAUCCAAGCCACGGACGAGGCGAAAAGCCAGACAGAAAGGGAGUUGAGUACUGGACUGAACGAUUUAUAUAUUCUUCACAAACCACAACCAAAAAAGAGUACUUGAUUAGCAACUCCAUUACAGAUACUAGAGGUUGAUGCGGAAAACAGAAGGUAACUCAUGUCCAACUAACAUGAACCAGGCGUCGUCUGGCGACACCAUCCACAUUUAUUCUUCGCAUAGACAAAGCAGGGACACCUCUGACCAGGCGCCACAAACGAAAGCAGAACGCUCUACUGAGUCUUGGCCAUGUGGCGGAUCAGGUCGACAACGCGGUUGCUGCAGAGGAAUAAGAUUCAAG